RNAcentral lists this transfer RNA (67 nucleotides) under Marmota monax (woodchuck). RNAcentral's name for it is "tRNA.Glu". It matches the Rfam family "tRNA", at positions 6 to 65 of the family's 71-position model. From Rfam's summary of the family: Transfer RNA (tRNA) molecules are approximately 80 nucleotides in length. Their secondary structure includes four short double-helical elements and three loops (D, anti-codon, and T loops). Lineage: Eukaryota; Metazoa; Chordata; Mammalia; Rodentia; Sciuridae. The record is from RNAcentral.
GGCUGUAGCUCAGUGGUAGAGCGCCUGCUUUUCACGUGUGAGGCACUGGGUUCCAUCCUCAGCACCA